This 612-nucleotide ribosomal RNA is filed under the name fungal sp. H337. RNAcentral's name for it is "eukaryotic LSU rRNA". The stretch from base 223 to 377 matches the Rfam family "5.8S ribosomal RNA". The record is from RNAcentral. Lineage: Eukaryota; Fungi.
AAGUCGUAACAAGGUUUCCGUAGGUGAACCUGCGGAAGGAUCAUUAUAGAAUUAUGAGCGAGGGUUGUCGCUGGUCCCCUCGGGGGCAUGUGCACGCCUGAGCUCUUAAAUCCCACCACACACCUGUGAACCCACCGUGGGCCCUGCAAGGGGCUCGCCUCUAUAUACUCUGCAUGUCUCAUAGAAUGUCAAAUUGUUUGCCUUAAAAACGCAAUCAAAUACAACUUUCAACAACGGAUCUCUUGGCUCUCGCAUCGAUGAAGAACGCAGCGAAAUGCGAUAAGUAAUGUGAAUUGCAGAUUUUCAGUGAAUCAUCGAAUCUUUGAACGCACCUUGCGCUCCUUGGUAUUCCGAGGAGCAUGCCUGUUUGAGUGUCAUUCAAAUCAUCAACCCCCGUCGAUCUUUGAUCGGUCGGAGGCUUGGACUUUGGAGCGUGCUGGCCCCCUGAGGUCGGCUCCUCUUUAAAUGCAUCAGCGGAAAGCCCAUUGACGUUUCCCGUCGGCGUGAUAACACUGUUGCGUCGUCAGGGUCUGGUUGGGGCUCGCUUAUAAUCGUCUUCGGACAACAUCCCAUUUUGACCUCAAAUCAGGUAGGACUACCCGCUGAACUUAA